GGGACAGGCCUUUCAGGCAUCCUCUCCUAAGACUUACGGGCUGGCCUUCGCGCCGGCCCUUUUUUUGUGCUCAG
RNAcentral lists this small RNA (74 nucleotides) under Sphingomonas prati. RNAcentral describes it as "Makes More Granules Regulator RNA (mmgR)". It matches the Rfam family "Makes More Granules Regulator RNA (mmgR)". Rfam says of the family: SuhB later renamed mmgR (makes more granules regulator) was a putative non-coding RNA found multiple times in the Agrobacterium tumefaciens genome and related alpha-proteobacteria. Other non-coding RNAs uncovered in the same analysis include: speF, ybhL, metA, and serC. Lineage: Bacteria; Pseudomonadati; Pseudomonadota; Alphaproteobacteria; Sphingomonadales; Sphingomonadaceae. The record is from Rfam by way of RNAcentral.